RNAcentral lists this ribosomal RNA (207 nucleotides) under uncultured bacterium. RNAcentral's name for it is "partial 16S ribosomal RNA". It matches the Rfam family "Bacterial small subunit ribosomal RNA", at positions 568 to 774 of the family's 1533-position model. The record is from RNAcentral.
CUCGUAGGCGGUUCGUCGCGUCCGGUGUGAAAGUCCAUCGCUUAACGGUGGAUCUGCGCCGGGUACGGGCGGGCUGGAGUGCGGUAGGGGAGACUGGAAUUCCCGGUGUAACGGUGGAAUGUGUAGAUAUCGGGAAGAACACCAAUGGCGAAGGCGGCUUACUGGACUGCAACUGACGUUGAGGCUCGAAAGUGUGGGUAGCAAACA